UAAAGUACAUAUUUAUCGUUAUUGGGCCAACGCAGAAAUGUCGCUGGCGUAAACUUAUGGUUGGUUCGACGUUGGGCCAACAAUUGCAUUUAUGAUACAUGUUAAUUAGAGUUGGGCCAACCAUGGCCCAACAACGAUUUUCCUAUGACGAUUUUCCGUGGUUGGCCCAACCACUGCAUGUUUACAGGGUUGUUUAUAUAGAAAAAAUGCGAUAUAGUGUUAGAACAUAAAAUAUCACUAAAAUUCAUUCUUAUUGAUUGUAUUUUUAUGAUCGAUCCCAAAGUGCGGUCGUUUCAAACUUGACACCAAAGUGCGUAACGCACGUUAGGGCUGGACCCCAAAGUACCUAACGCAUUUUGGGUCGGACCCCAAAGUGCACUUGACCCCAAAGUGCGUUGUUACACUGCUUUAUUUGAACUUUGUUACUAGUCUUUGCUACAUGCAUUUUAUCUUCCAAGCAAAAAUUGAUAGUUCUAUUUCAUUUAUAUCUAAUGUUUUCAUUCAGUGAAGAAUAACUUUGUUGUUUUGUUCUUCUUCCUGUAUAAGAAUUUUUUUUUUAACCAAUUAUUCUUAAUCAUUUGUUAUUUCUCGUCCGAAUAAGAUUAAAAUUUCCUUUUUAAUUGAAACCUUGGCUAACAAAUAAAGAAACGCGCGGGAUAUCGAACUGUUUUCUCUCUGUUUUCAGGACAUAUGCUUUGACUGAAGGAGAAAAAAACAGACACACUGCCACAGUUAAUAAACUGAUACAAUUCACAUCUUUUAUGUUAAACGAGGUGGAUCUAACAUAUCAACUAAUGGCCAGACUACUCGUAUACAAUUUCCUGUCUUUUUGCUGGAAUUUACAUAGCUGAUGAUCCAAGCGAUUCGCCGUUUGUAGAAGAUCAUCUCGUCAACGAUGCCGGACAAGCAGAUGGUGACUACAUAAUAGAUGCUUUCGUUAAUUGGGGAGAGGCUUCAUUACGUCAUUUUAAUUAUGACCAUUGUGCUUUGCUU
This is a long non-coding RNA of Ruditapes philippinarum (Manila clam), 993 nucleotides long. RefSeq lists it as uncharacterized. Lineage: Eukaryota; Metazoa; Mollusca; Bivalvia; Venerida; Veneridae. The record is from RefSeq and is a predicted model, not a curated record. The transcript is spliced from 3 exons.